CAGCAGCCGCGGGAAUACGUAGGUGGCAAGCGUUGUCCGGAAUUAUUGGGCGUAAAGGGCUCGCAGGCGGUUUCUUAAGUCUGAUGUGAAAGCCCCCGGCUCAACCGGGGAGGGUCAUUGGAAACUGGGAAACUUGAGUGCAGAAGAGGAGAGUGGAAUUCCACGUGUAGCGAUGAAAUGCGUAGAGAUGUGGAGGAACACCAGUGGCGAAGGCGACUCUCUGGUCUGUAACUGACGCUGAGGAGCGAAAGCGUGGGGAGCGAACAGGAUUAGAUACCCCGGUAGUCCCUGUCUCUUAUAA
RNAcentral lists this ribosomal RNA (301 nucleotides) under uncultured bacterium. RNAcentral's name for it is "partial 16S ribosomal RNA". It matches the Rfam family "Bacterial small subunit ribosomal RNA", at positions 509 to 809 of the family's 1533-position model. The record is from RNAcentral.